GGGGGUGUAUUGGUUUCGACUGGCGGCAGAUCAUGCUAGUAGUUGCAAGCGGAGCGCCAACUCCUAAAACUAGCAAAACAAAUAACUGCAAAGAAAGAAGACAAUGUCUCUUACGACGCAGAAUACGCUCUUGCUGCUUAAGUAGUAGGAACGUACAGGUGUUAAUAGUGCCGCUCUUAACUAUUAAAUACUUGUAACAAUAAGGGCUCACCUUCAUAUGUACUAGCGGUAUGAAGGGACAAUACAGUUAGUGUAGAGAGAGCAACGUCGGUUGUUGGUCAUAGUUCUCUCGAAAUAAUAAAACAAUAACUAAGCUUGUAGAGGCUACUAGGUGGCACGUUAGGACGGGGGUUCGACUCCCCCCACCUCCACUA
RNAcentral lists this transfer-messenger RNA (374 nucleotides) under Spirochaetia bacterium. It matches the Rfam family "transfer-messenger RNA". From Rfam's summary of the family: Bacterial tmRNA, also known as 10Sa RNA or SsrA, is named for its dual tRNA and mRNA-like properties. The record is from RNAcentral. Lineage: Bacteria; Pseudomonadati; Spirochaetota; Spirochaetia. RNAcentral also lists the same sequence under 1 other name.